Molecule: long non-coding RNA, 408 nt
Filed under: Olea europaea (common olive)
Lineage: Eukaryota; Viridiplantae; Streptophyta; Magnoliopsida; Lamiales; Oleaceae
Description: long non-coding RNA (OEUR_LNC014091)
Source: RNAcentral
AGCAGUGUCUCGACGAUGGUAUGUUGUGGCAGGGUGGGGGGUUAUGGUGACUGCCGAGCAGUGGUUGGUAUUUUCCUCUCUCUCCUCAUCUUCAUCUCUGGGUGCUCUGGCGAGGCUAUAAGAAGACCAGAAGGGGAAGAUAUUCAAGCAGUCAUACAAAAAUGCAAGGUCUAAGAAGGAGAAGAAAAUUGACCACAUCAAGGAUAAAAUUGAGGUCCCCAGGUCCACCCAUUGGUCUCUCCCUUUUAAUCUCAUUUGAUAUUCUACAAAAUCAUCGAUUACUUUGUUAGACUUUUGCUUAUGUUUGCGGUUUUCAGAUGAAAAUCCAUCUUGUUCUACUUCGUAUUUUGUGAUGAUAAGAGAAUUGUAUAUGCAUUUUAUUAAUUUAAAAAUCAACCCAUCCCGUCC